UUCACUCCGUUAGUUAAGAAAGAAAUCCUCCGGACCGACUGCCCCUGUGCCGGGGGCUGAGAGGCCAAACAAUCGCCCGUUUCCCGCACCUCGUGUGAAUCUCCUACACGCCCGCUUGCUGUGUGCCAGGCACUACGCAGAGCGCUCUACACGCUCGAGCUCGGUUACUUCUCAGGUACACGGUAUCGUCCUCGCUGUAGAGCUGCAGAACCUGAGACUGAGAAAUUACUUCAAGGCCAAAGGUCAUGAGUGGCGACUCCUAGCCUCUCAAUCAGAAGUUAACCUCCACGCUCACGCUAAACGCCUACUCCAUCCUACACCAGUCCCGCCUUCUGUGAGGGGCUAAAUCCAGCGCGCAGCUUUCUACUGACCUGAGGCGGCCUUCACGGCACGAGCAAAGACAGGGGCCGCCAUCUUGCCACCCCGCCCUACGGCAGCCGCAUUGGGAUCUAAAACUCCAGCGCGAAAGGAAGUUAAGGAAAAGGUAUGGGUGGAGUCUAAGAAAAAAAGAAGGAAAAAAAAAAAAAACAAAAA
Molecule: long non-coding RNA, 534 nt
Organism: Canis lupus familiaris (dog)
Lineage: Eukaryota; Metazoa; Chordata; Mammalia; Carnivora; Canidae
Exons: 2
Source: RefSeq, a predicted model, not a curated record